AGAUAAGUCUCUUGCUGCUACUAUUACAAAAGCGAAAUUCAUCAUAGGAUAUAGAUCGUGCGGGUCUCCACUUGAGAAGGAGGACAGUAACACUGAAAGUAUACUCUUCGUAGAUUCGACGCAGACAAAAGAGGAGAAAAAUUUCUAAAAUAUUACCGUACAGAUUGUAAGACUGUGAAGUAUGAAGCAGAUGCACGUACGACCUAGAAGAGAAA
Molecule: long non-coding RNA, 215 nt
Organism: Vollenhovia emeryi
Lineage: Eukaryota; Metazoa; Arthropoda; Insecta; Hymenoptera; Formicidae
Exons: 3
Source: RefSeq, a predicted model, not a curated record